This 253-nucleotide ribosomal RNA is filed under the name uncultured bacterium. RNAcentral describes it as "partial 16S ribosomal RNA". It matches the Rfam family "Bacterial small subunit ribosomal RNA", at positions 524 to 776 of the family's 1533-position model. The record is from RNAcentral.
UACAGAGGGUGCUAGCGUUGUUCGGAAUUAUUGGGCGUAAAGGGCGCGUAGGCGGCUCGGUGUGUCGGGUGUGAAAUCCCACCUCUCAAAGGUGGAAUUGCAUUCGAAACUACCAAGCUGGAGUACCGGAGAGGAUGGUGGAAUUCCUGGUGUAGAGGUGAAAUUCGUAGAUAUCAGGAGGAACACCGGUGGCGAAGGCGGCGUCCUGGACCAAUACUGACACUGAGGAGCGAAAGCCAGGGGAGCAAACGGG